AGCGAACGCUGGCGGCAGGCUUAACACAUGCAAGUCGAGCGGGGUGAUGGUGCUUGCACUAUCACUUAGCGGCGGACGGGUGAGUAAUGCUUAGGAAUCUGCCUAUUAGUGGGGGACAACAUCUCGAAAGGGAUGCUAAUACCGCAUACGUCCUACGGGAGAAAGCAGGGGAUCACUUGUGACCUUGCGCUAAUAGAUGAGCCUAAGUCGGAUUAGCUAGUUGGUGGGGUAAAGGCCUACCAAGGCGACGAUCUGUAGCGGGUCUGAGAGGAUGAUCCGCCACACUGGGACUGAGACACGGCCCAGACUCCUACGGGAGGCAGCAGUGGGGAAUAUUGGACAAUGGGGGGAACCCUGAUCCAGCCAUGCCGCGUGUGUGAAGAAGGCCUUAUGGUUGUAAAGCACUUUAAGCGAGGAGGAGGCUCUUUUGGUUAAUACCCAAGAUGAGUGGACGUUACUCGCAGAAUAAGCACCGGCUAACUCUGUGCCAGCCGCCGCCGUAA
Molecule: ribosomal RNA, 503 nt
Filed under: uncultured bacterium
Lineage: Bacteria
Description: partial 16S ribosomal RNA
Rfam family: Bacterial small subunit ribosomal RNA
Source: RNAcentral